AAAGCGUGCGCAGGCGGUUUGUAAGACUGUCGUGAAAUACCCCGGGCUCAACCUGGGAAUGGCGAUGGUGACUGCAAGGCUAGAGUUUGGCAGAGGGGGGUAGAAUUCCACGUGUAGCAGUGAAAUGCGUAGAUAUGUGGAGGAACACCGAUGGCGAAGGCAGCCCCCUGGGUCAAAACUGACGCUCAUGCACGAAAGCGUGGGGAGCAAACAGGAUUAGAUACCCUAGU
This 230-nucleotide ribosomal RNA is filed under the name uncultured bacterium. RNAcentral describes it as "partial 16S ribosomal RNA". It matches the Rfam family "Bacterial small subunit ribosomal RNA", at positions 562 to 791 of the family's 1533-position model. The record is from RNAcentral.